GAUGAACGCUGGCGGUAUGCUUAACACAUGCAAGUCGAACGGACUCUUCGGAGUUAGUGGCGGACGGGUGAGUAACGCGUGAGAAUCUGGCUUUGGGUUCGGGACAACCACUGGAAACGGUGGCUAAUACCGGAUGUGCCGAGAGGUAAAAGAGAAAUUGCCUGAAGAUGAGCUCGCGUCUGAUUAGCUAGUUGGUGGGGUAAAGGCUCACCAAGGCAGCGAUCAGUAGCUGGUCUGAGAGGAUGACCAGCCACACUGGGACUGAGACACGGCCCAGGCUCCUGCGGGAGGCAGGAGUGGGGAAUUGUCCGCAAUGGGCGAAAGCCUGACGGAGCAAUACCGCGUGAGGGAAGAAGGCUCUUGGGUUGUAAACCUCUUUUCUUAGGGGAGAACAAAAUGACGGUACCUAAGGAAUCAGCAUCGGCUAACUCCGUG
RNAcentral lists this ribosomal RNA (435 nucleotides) under uncultured bacterium. RNAcentral's name for it is "partial 16S ribosomal RNA". It matches the Rfam family "Bacterial small subunit ribosomal RNA", at positions 28 to 507 of the family's 1533-position model. The record is from RNAcentral.